GGUGUGUUUCCUAACACCUCCGGCAGUGAGCCAGGCUUUGAGUGGCUGCGUCUAAACACUUCUUUCCCUGAGGACUGGAAGACAUUAGAAUAAGGUUUGUCAUUGAGUGUGUUCUGUGUGCUUGGAACUGAGAAGGGUGAUGAAGUGCCAGAUAGGAUGGGAAUGGAAGAUAUCGUGGAAGCCAACUAUGAGUUUGCAAGCUUUGCCUUCUUGAGGAUGGAGGAUCGCUGUAGAGGAGGAAACAAAGCUGGAGGGUCACAUACCAGCUCUUCAAUCCUUGGCCUAGAAUUCACACCUGCUAUUCCCACUCCCAGGCCAUUGGCCAGAAGAACUAGUCACAGAGCCAUGCCUGUAUUUAAGCAACAGCGAAAUGUUAAGCAUGUGGGGAGCAGUAUAUGCCUCCGCCACCCUGGCUGAGAGUGUGUGUCAAUAAACCUUCUUGGAUAAA
This 448-nucleotide long non-coding RNA is filed under the name Homo sapiens (human). RNAcentral describes it as "HSALNT0295022". Lineage: Eukaryota; Metazoa; Chordata; Mammalia; Primates; Hominidae. The record is from RNAcentral.